Oncorhynchus gorbuscha (pink salmon) is the source of this 242-nucleotide long non-coding RNA. RefSeq lists it as uncharacterized. The transcript is spliced from 3 exons. The record is from RefSeq and is a predicted model, not a curated record. Lineage: Eukaryota; Metazoa; Chordata; Actinopteri; Salmoniformes; Salmonidae.
CCAACAGGUUGCAGAGUAAGAUGAAAUGACAUUCCAUGUUAGAUUUGAUCAUCACUAUACGGAAGAUACACUGGCUGGUCCCUGACUGAAUAUACCCUCAGGUUAUUAGGUACAUCCACCUGGUCCCUGACUGAAUAUACACUCAGGUUAUUAGGUACAUCCACCUGGUCCCUGACUGAAUAUACACUCAGGUUAUUAGGUACAUCCACCUGGUCCCUGACUGAAUAUACACUCAGGUUAUU